UUGCUCUUCAACGAGGAAUGCCUAGUAAGCGUACGUCAUCAGCAUGCGUUGAUUACGUCCCUGCCCUUUGUACACACCGCCCGUCGCUACUACCGAUUGAAUGGCUUAGUGAGGCCUUCGGACUGGCUCAGGGAGGUCGGCAACGACCACCCAGAGCCGGAAAGUUCGUCAAACUACGUCAUUUAGAGGAAGUAAAAGUCGUAACAAGGUUUCCGUAGGUGAACCUGCGGAAGGAUCAUUACCGAGUUGAUUCGAGCUCCGGCUCGACUCUCCCACCCUUUGUGUACCUACCUCUGUUGCUUUGGCGGGCCCGCGGUCGGCCUCGUGCCGUCCAGCACCCGCCAGAGGACUACAAAACUCCAGUCAGUAAACGUCUCAGUCUGAAAAACAAGUUAAUAAACUAAAACUUUCAACAACGGAUCUCUUGGUUCUGGCAUCGAUGAAGAACGCAGCGAAAUGCGAUAAGUAAUGUGAAUUGCAGAAUUCAGUGAAUCAUCGAAUCUUUGAACGCACAUUGCGCCCCUUGGUAUUCCGGGGGGCAUGCCUGUUCGAGCGUCAUUUCAACCCUCAAGCUCUGCUUGGUAUUGGGCUCCGUCCUCAGGGACGCGCCUCAAAGACCUCGGCGGUGGCGUCUUGCCUCAAGCGUAGUAGAAAACACCUCGCUUUGGAGCGCACGGCGCCGCCCGCCGGACGAACCUUUGAAUUUUUCUCAAGGUUGACCUCGGAUCAGGUAGGGAUACCCGCUGAACUUAAGCAUAUCAAUAAGCGGAGGA
Molecule: ribosomal RNA, 773 nt
Filed under: uncultured fungus
Lineage: Eukaryota; Fungi
Description: eukaryotic LSU rRNA
Rfam family: Eukaryotic small subunit ribosomal RNA (bases 1-241)
Source: RNAcentral